CCUACGGGAGGCUGCAGUGAGGAAUAUUGGUCAAUGGACGAGAGUCUGAACCAGCCAAGUAGCGUGAAGGAUGACUGCCCUAUGGGUUGUAAACUUCUUUUAUAAAGGAAUAAAACGAGGCACGUGUGCCUUUUUGCAUGUACUUUAUGAAUAAGGAUCGGCUAACUCCUUGCCAGCAGCCGUGGUAAUACGGAGGAUCCGAGCGUUAUCCGGAUUUAUUGUGUUUAAGGGGAGCGUAGAUGGGUUGUUAAGUCAGUUGUGAAAGUUUGCGGCUAAACCGUAAAAUUGCAAUUGAUACUGGCAGUCGUGAGUACAGUUGAGGUAGGCGGAAUUCGUGGUGUAGCGGUGAAAUGCUUAGAUAUCACGCAGAACCCCGAUUGCGAAGGCAGCUUACUAAACUGUGACUGACAUUGAUGCUCGAAAGUGUGGGUAUCAAACAGGAUUAGAUACCCCAGUAGUC
RNAcentral lists this ribosomal RNA (460 nucleotides) under uncultured bacterium. RNAcentral describes it as "partial 16S ribosomal RNA". It matches the Rfam family "Bacterial small subunit ribosomal RNA", at positions 338 to 795 of the family's 1533-position model. The record is from RNAcentral.